RNAcentral lists this ribosomal RNA (468 nucleotides) under uncultured bacterium. RNAcentral's name for it is "partial 16S ribosomal RNA". It matches the Rfam family "Bacterial small subunit ribosomal RNA", at positions 28 to 507 of the family's 1533-position model. The record is from RNAcentral.
GACGAACGCUGGCGGCGUGCUUAACACAUGCAAGUCGAACGGAAAGGCCCUGCUUUUGUGGGGUGCUCGAGUGGCGAACGGGUGAGUAACACGUGAGUAACCUGCCCUUGACUUUGGGAUAACUUCAGGAAACUGGGGCUAAUACCGGAUAGGAGCUCCUGCUGCAUGGUGGGGGUUGGAAAGUUUCGGCGGUUGGGGAUGGGCUCGCGGCUUAUCAGCUUGUUGGUGGGGUAGUGGCUUACCAAGGCUUUGACGGGUAGCCGGCCUGAGAGGGUGACCGGCCACAUUGGGACUGAGAUACGGCUCAGACUCCUACGGGAGGCAGCAGUGGGGAAUAUUGCACAAUGGGCGGAAGCCUGAUGCAGCAACGCCGCGUGCGGGAUGACGGCCUUCGGGUUGUAAACCGCUUUCGCCUGUGACGAAGCGUGAGUGACGGUAAUGGGUAAAGAAGCACCGGCUAACUACGUG